CUGGCGGCGUGCUUAACACAUGCAAGUCGAGCGAUGAAGUCCCUCGGGACGGAUUAGCGGCGGACGGGUGAGUAACACGUGGGUAGCCUGCCUCAUAGAGGGGAAUAGCCUUCCGAAAGGAAGAUUAAUACCGCAUAAGAUUGUACGUUUCGCAUGAAACAGCAAUUAAAGGAGUAAUCCGCUAUGAGAUGGACCCGCGUCGCAUUAGCUAGUUGGUGAGGUAACGGCUCACCAAGGCGACGAUGCGUAGCCGACCUGAGAGGGUGAUCGGCCACAUUGGGACUGAGACACGGCCCAGACUCCUACGGGAGGCAGCAGUGGGGAAUAUUGCACGAAUGGGGGAAACCCUGAUGCAGCAACGCCCGCGUGAGUGAUGACGGUCUUCGGAUUGUAAAGCUCUGUCUUCAGGGACGAUAAUGACGGUACCUGAGGAGGAAGCCACGGCUAACUACGUGCCAGCAGCUGC
This 466-nucleotide ribosomal RNA is filed under the name uncultured bacterium. RNAcentral's name for it is "bacterial SSU rRNA". It matches the Rfam family "Bacterial small subunit ribosomal RNA", at positions 36 to 518 of the family's 1533-position model. The record is from RNAcentral.